GGAGAGGUGACAGAGUGGUUGAAUGUACCGCACUCGAAAUGCGGAGUACCUUAUAGGUAUCGGGGGUUCGAAUCCCCCUCUCUCCUCCA
This is a transfer RNA of 89 nucleotides. It matches the Rfam family "tRNA". From Rfam's summary of the family: Transfer RNA (tRNA) molecules are approximately 80 nucleotides in length.